Molecule: ribosomal RNA, 535 nt
Filed under: uncultured bacterium
Lineage: Bacteria
Description: bacterial SSU rRNA
Rfam family: Bacterial small subunit ribosomal RNA
Source: RNAcentral
AGGUAAUAGAUACCCAGGUAGUCCACGCUGUAAACGAUGAAUAUUAGGUGUGGGAGGUAUCGACUCCUUCCGUGCCGUCGUAAAACACAUUAAGUAUUCCACCUGGGGAGUACGGUCGCAAGAUUAAAACUCAAAGGAAUUGACGGGGGCCCGCACAAGCAGCGGAGCAUGUGGUUUAAAUUCGAAGCAACGCGAAGAACCUUACCUGGACUUGACAUCCCCUGAAUAGAUUAGAGAUAAUUGAAGCCCUUCGGGGCAGGGAGACAGGUGGUGCAUGGUUGUCGUCAGCUCGUGUCGUGAGAUGUUAAGUUAAGUCCUGCAACGAGCGCAACCCUUGUCAUUAGUUGCUACCAGUAAGAUGAGCACUCUAGUGAGACUGCCGCGGUUAACGCGGAGGAAGGUGGGGAUGACGUCAAAUCAUCAUGCCCCUUAUGUCCAGGGCUACACACGUGCUACAAUGGGCAGUACAAUGAGACGCAAGCCCGCGAGGGGGAGCCAAACCGAUAAAACCUGUUCCCAGUUCGGAUUGCAGGCU